UACGGGGGGGGCAAGCGUUGUUCGGAAUUACUGGGCGUAAAGGGCUCGUAGGCGGCCCUCUCAGUCGGAUGUGAAAUCCCCGGGCUCAACCUGGGAAUGGCGAUGAAGACUGCAAGGCUAGAAUCUGGCAGAGGGGGGUAGAAUUCCACGUGUAGCAGUGAAAUGCGUAGAGAUGUGGAGGAACACCGAUGGCGAAGGCAGCCCCCUGGGUCAAGAUUGACGCUCAUGCACGAAAGCGUGGGGAGCAAACAGG
RNAcentral lists this ribosomal RNA (253 nucleotides) under uncultured bacterium. Its description in RNAcentral is "partial 16S ribosomal RNA". It matches the Rfam family "Bacterial small subunit ribosomal RNA", at positions 524 to 776 of the family's 1533-position model. The record is from RNAcentral.